RNAcentral lists this ribosomal RNA (1447 nucleotides) under Dermatophilus sp. CCUG 48971. RNAcentral describes it as "16S ribosomal RNA". It matches the Rfam family "Bacterial small subunit ribosomal RNA". The record is from RNAcentral. Lineage: Bacteria; Bacillati; Actinomycetota; Actinomycetes; Micrococcales; Dermatophilaceae.
ACACAUGCAAGUCGAACGAUGAAGCCUAGCUUGCUGGGUGGAUUAGUGGCGAACGGGUGAGUAACACGUGAGUAACCUGCCCUUCACUCUGGGAUAAGCCUGGGAAACUGGGUCUAAUAACUGGAUAUGACAUCUCCUCGCAUGGGGUGGUGUGGAAAGUUUUUCGGUGGAGGAUGGGCUCGCGGCCUAUCAGCUUGUUGGUGAGGUAGUGGCUCACCAAGGCGACGACGGGUAGCCGGCCUGAGAGGGUGACCGGCCACACUGGGACUGAGACACGGCCCAGACUCCUACGGGAGCAGCAGUGGGGGAAUAUUGCACAAUGGGCGAAAGCCUGAUGCAGCGACGCCGCGUGAGGGAUGAAGGCCUUCGGGUUGUAAACCUCUUUCGCCAGGGAAGAAGCGCAAGUGACGGUACCUGGAGAAGAAGCACCGGCUAACUACGUGCCAGCAGCCGCGGUAAUACGUAGGGUGCGAGCGUUGUCCGGAAUUAUUGGGCGUAAAGAGCUUGUAGGCGGUUUGUCGCGUCUGCUGUGAAAAUUCGGGGCUUAACUCCGGACGUGCAGUGGGUACGGGCAGGCUAGAGUGUGGUAGGGGAGACUGGAAUUCCUGGUGUAGCGGUGAAAUGCGCAGAUAUCAGGAGGAACACCGAUGGCGAAGGCAGGUCUCUGGGCCAUAACUGACGCUGAGAAGCGAAAGCAUGGGGAGCGAACAGGAUUAGAUACCCUGGUAGUCCAUGCCGUAAACGUUGGGCGCUAGGUGUGGGGCUAUUCCACGAGUUCCGUGCCGCAGCUAACGCAUUAAGCGCCCCGCCUGGGGAGUACGGCCGCAAGGCUAAAACUCAAAGGAAUUGACGGGGGCCCGCACAAGCGGCGGAGCAUGCGGAUUAAUUCGAUGCAACGCGAAGAACCUUACCAAGGCUUGACAUACACCGGAAAAGUGCAGAGAUGUGUGCCCCGUAAGGUCGGUGUACAGGUGGUGCAUGGUUGUCGUCAGCCCGUGUCGUGAGAUGUUGGGUUAAGUCCCGCAACGAGCGCAACCCUCGUUCCAUGUUGCCAGCACGUGAUGGUGGGGACUCAUGGGAGACUGCCGGGGUCAACUCGGAGGAAGUGGGGAUGACGUCAAAUCAUCAUGCCCCUUAUGUCUUGGGCUUCACGCAUGCUACAAUGGCCGGUACAGAGUGUUGCGAUGCCGUGAGGCGGAGCGAAUCACUAAAAGCCGGUCUCAGUUCGGAUUGGGGUCUGCAACUCGACCCCAUGAAGUCGGAGUCGCUAGUAAUCGCAGAUCAGCAACGCUGCGGUGAAUACGUUCCCGGGCCUUGUACACACCGCCCGUCAAGUCACGAAAGUCGGUAACACCCGAAGCCGGUGGCCUAACCCUUGUGGGGGGAGCCGUCGAAGGUGGGACUGGCGAUUGGGACUAAGUCGUAACAAGGUAGCCGUACCGGAAGG